This 198-nucleotide ribosomal RNA is filed under the name uncultured bacterium. Its description in RNAcentral is "partial 16S ribosomal RNA". It matches the Rfam family "Bacterial small subunit ribosomal RNA", at positions 328 to 539 of the family's 1533-position model. The record is from RNAcentral.
ACGCUCGACACCUACAGGAGGCAGCAGUGGGGAAUAUUGCACAAUGGGGGAAACCCUGAUGCAGCGAUGCCGCGUGAAGGAAGAAGUAUCUCGGUAUGUAAACUUCUAUCAGCAGGGAAGAAAAUGACGGUACCUGACUAAGAAGCCCCGGCUAACUACGUGCCAGCAGCCGCGGUAAUCUGAGCGGGCUGGCAAGGC